Non-coding RNA from Paramuricea clavata, 237 nucleotides. Lineage: Eukaryota; Metazoa; Cnidaria; Anthozoa; Malacalcyonacea; Plexauridae. The record is from the annotation of a GenBank genome assembly.
UUUGUUUACCUGUUCAUGUGCGGAAGUCCCUUUGAUGUUUACAGCAAGGCAGUUACAAGUCACAUUAUAGCUUACAAACUUGUAAUUUGUAGUCAAAAACGAACAAUUAAUGUUGUUCUUUUGUGUUAGAAGCCGUCCUACCUCUUCUGCCGGACACGUUUGAUCCAGCAAACUGGAAUUUGAGUUGAACUUAACAGCUAUUAGCUUGCUUGCGGCGACAGACAGACGUUAUUAAAG